Molecule: ribosomal RNA, 253 nt
Filed under: uncultured bacterium
Lineage: Bacteria
Description: partial 16S ribosomal RNA
Rfam family: Bacterial small subunit ribosomal RNA
Source: RNAcentral
UACGAAGGGGGCUAGCGUUGCUCGGAAUCACUGGGCGUAAAGCGUGCGCAGGCGGUUCGUUAAGUUCGUUGUGAAAGCCCCGGGCUCAACCUGGGAACUGCAAUGGAAACUGGCGGGCUUGAGUGUGGCAGAGGGGGGUGGAAUUCCGCGUGUAGCAGUGAAAUGCGUAGAGAUGCGGAGGAACACCGAUGGCGAAGGCAGCCCCCUGGGCCAACACUGACGCUCAGGCACGAAAGCGUGGGGAGCAAACAGG